UGUUUCGUCAUUUCGAUUUCUUUAGUACAGUUCAAAAGAUUCAGCGGUACACAAGGUACAUAAAAAAAAUUAGUAAAAAAAAAACGAAAAAAAUACAAUCUGAUGUCGUCUGGAAUAACGGUUUCACGUGACAGAACUACACAUAUCUAUGACGACAUCCACGUACCUGUGCCACGUGCAGAAACUUUUGAGGAACAACAUUACUGCCAGCCACCGAAAAUAACGAAGGAGACAUUCCCUACGCGUAUUUCACACCAUUACGAAAAAGUUGUUGGAUUAGCAAAAACAAAAAAGAACCGGAUGUGCGUUUUUGGUAUCGUUUCCUCGCUGGUGGCCAUUUUCAGUUUAACUGGUGCAAUCAUUUUCAGUAUUUUCUAUGCUAAGCCAGCGAUCUGUGAUAAAUUACUCAAAGCAAAUACUCAACAAUCCAGCCAUGACAGUUGUGCAAACAGGUCAAUUGAGCUGGAAACAGGAAACAACAAUGACUUGAUUGAAAAUUGGUUGAUGGUUUGUAAACCGUCUGGAAAUCAAGGUGGAACCAGUAUAAUCUGCCCUGAGUCGAAAUCAGUUGUGAUCACUAAAGUGAACAUUACAUGGUACACUUAUACGGGACAGACGAACAUGCCGAACUGUGAUGUUUCGCCAAGCUGUAUUAAACCAAGUGAUAAUAUUACGGAUUAUAUGAGAAUUUAUUGUGCUGGAAAGCCUUCUUGUGUGAUAGAUUCUAAGUAUUUAAAUAAACAUAGCAAAUCGUGCCAAGAACAAGGAUAUGACCUGCUGGAAGUUACAUUUUUGUGUUCAUAGGUGCUAAAAAAAACUUGUAAUACUUUUUACCUCUAUCUCUCACUUUCUCUGUCUUUAAUGUUUGUCUGUCGCUCUGGCUUGCUAUAUGUCUGUCUGUCUACUAAACUCCAAAACAUAUAAAUAAACUAAAAUUAUAAAACAUACAAGACUAACAAAGGACAGAGGUUCCUGACUUUGGACAGGUGCAAUAAUGGGGCGGGGUUAAACAUGUUUUGUGAGAUCUCAACCCUCCCCUAUACCUCUAGCCAAUGUAGAAUAAACAAACACACAGCAAUACGCACAUUAAAAAAUCAGUUCAAAAGAAGUCCGAAUCCGAUGUCAGAAUAGGUAACAAAAGAAACUAAGCAGUAUGGCAAUGAUACAUAAAUUAACAAAGAACUACUACCAGUUACUGACAUGCCAGCUCCAGACCUCAAUUAAACUGAUUAAAGAUUAUGUAUUCAUCUUAUGAAAAUCAAGCACAAUCCCUUAGGGGUUUAGUAUCAUAUCAUCAUAAAAUAUAUGAGAAGAACAUAACCCGUAACUAAUUUUGUAUGUCUGUCUUUAUGUUGGUCAGUCCCUCUCUCCCGGAGUGUUUACGCGUAAGAUUAGAUCUGCUCUGCCGACUCUAGACUAUUUAGAGCUUUUCAUUCGGUAGGAUGCUUGGCAUCGGAUGUUGACGACGGUAACAUUGUACCUCUAGCUUUCCAAUUUGAAUUAGUAGCAAAAUGGUGUUAUUAUUUUAUUAAUAUAAAUCAUUAUAUCCAGCAUUGUCUUCGACGUGUAAUACUGUAAACCAACUAAUUUUCGCGAUCGACUUAUUUUCGCAACUUUCGCGAGUAGAAAUAAAUCGCGAAUAUAGAUCGUUGUAAAUAAGUAAAACUUAGAUCCUCACUUAUUUAAAUGUAUUAAGUACAUUUGAAAAUCAUGAAAUUAAAUCGGCGCGAAAUGGAAGAGUUGUCUCAUUGACACUCAUACCACAUCUUCUUGUAUUUAUAAAGAAAGAGCAAAACGCGAAAUAAUAUAUCCGCAAAAAAAUUAUCCACUGAAAGCUAGUUCAGAGCCAAUAACAACUUAUAAAACCAUCAUGUAUCCAAGACUAUAAUACAUGUAUCAUUCAGUACACAUCCAAUGAAUUCAGUGUAAAUACGUCAAAACAGUCAAAGAAUGACUUCCUAUGCACUGUUACUAUGUAAACAAUAAGGGGAAAAAAAUCCCGGAUUCAAUAUCCCAAAGCAGGUUUAAUGAUAGUACAUUAACAUUUUAUUUCCUGGCUAUAAAACACAUUAAAUAGGAUAAAACGAGAUUUACCAAAAAUAUUUGACAGAUCAUACCGACCUCCAACAAUCGAAUCCUCCGAAUUCUUUAAUCUGCCACGUGAAAUGAAAAUGUUCAUCAACCAAUCAAUCUCUGUUAAUUUAGACAGCUGACUAAUAUAGCGCUGACAUUUUCUUGUGUAUGGCGGAUGGGGCAUGUUUUGUUUUUUGUUUUUUGUUGGUUUUUUUUUUUGCUCUUUAGGGUGCACAACCUUUUUUGGCUUUAAUUAAAAAUAAAAAUUGUUUCCAAUAAAAUAUAAGAAAACGAUUUUUUGGGGGAGUUUAAAUGUUAUUUACCCCCUAAUUUUUAAUUGAAGCAAACUAUUUUUCUCUGUCCUUCUGAAACAAUAUUUUUAUCAAGAUAAUUAGAAUCAAACAUUUUAUUUUUUGAAGAAAGCAUGCCCUCCACAAUAGGUAAAUAGUCGAUGCCUUUGACCACACAAAAAUAAUACGUUCUAGGAAAAACAGUCUAUCAGAUAUUUAUUUUUUUCUUUUUACAAAAUGAAAACAGUUUUUAACUUCAAACACUUGAAUUUUGACAUCAAAUUGUCUAAAUAGUCCAUAUUGUUUCCUCAUUAUCUAAAACAAUAUAUUUCCGUAUUUGCUCAGGAAAUCAUAAUUAGGUUUUCCUAUCAAUACAACUGGUUCGUAUCAAGUUUUAAGACCAUACGUUCUGAGCCAUGUUUCAUGCAUUUGUCAAAAUCAUAUCUAUUUUGUUCCAUGCAAACCAAUGAACAAAAAAUACGUCAAUUAGACAGCAACCAAACGACAUAAAUAAACAAAAGAUACAGAGAGUGCGACAUACAGUCUUCAAUAAUUGACCCCGAUGGUAAAUACAAAAUUCAAAGAUCUAAAUCUAAAAUCUUGUUCCAUGCUAUCGCAAUAGAAGAGGAUCAAGAUGGGAAGGCUUAAUUUCUGUUUUCUUAAAAUGUUUAGGGCCAUUUUCCUUUUUUCAAAUCUGAUACGUUAUGGUGGAUACCUACAGUUUGUGGAGUCAAUGUUCAAAAUGUUAAAACCACAAAAACUCACAAAAACAGCAACUAAUGGUCGUAUUUAACAGUUUCCGUCUUGUAGGAUCCCGACUGCUUAAUUUCAAACACAACGCGUACUGAUUGUAAAUAAUUUUAGUUCCCUAAAUUGUGUGUAUCAUCAUUUUCGAUUGCGUUAGUAUAGUUCAAAAGAUUCAGUGGUACACAAAGUACAUCAAACAAAAUUAGUUUAAAAAAACGAGAAAAAUACGAUCUGAUGUCGUCUGGAAUUACGGUUUCACGUGACAGAUCUACACACAUCUAUGACGACAUUCACGUACCCGUGCCACGUGCAGAAACUGAUGAGGAACACGAUAACUGCCAGCCAACCAACAAUGAAAAAACGAAGAAGACAUUUCCUAAUCGUAUUUCACACCAGUAUGAAAAACUUAUUGGAUUAGCAAAAACAAAGAAGAACCGAAUGUGCGUUUUUGGUAUCGUUUCCUCAUUGGUGGCCAUUUUUAGUUUAACUGGUGCUAUCAUUUUCAGUAUUGUCUAUGCUAAGCCAGCGUUCUGUGAUAAAUUACUCAAAGAAAACUGGUUGAUGGUUUGUAAACCGUCUGGAAAUCAAGGUGGAACCAGUAUAAUCUGCCCUGAGUCGACAUCAGUUGUAAUAACUAACGUGAGCAUUACACGGUACACAUAUAAACGACAGAGUAAAAUGCCGGACUGUGAUAUCUCGUCAAGCUAUAUCAAACCAAGUGACAAUAUUACAGAUAUUAUGAAUAAUUAUUGUGCUGGAAAGCCUUCUUGUGUGAUAGGUUCUGAGUAUUUUGAUCAACAUAGUGAAUCGUACCAAGAACAAGGAUAUGACCUGCUGAAAGUUACAUUUUUGUGUUCAUAGUUGUUAUAAAAUUGGAUUGGUAAGCUUAUCCUGCUCCGCACGUGACACCUGUCGUGUUGCUUAAAUAAAUACUAUUUUUUACAUUCGACAGAAUGUGUCAAACAUACAAAUUUUGAAAUUUGAAAACAGGAGUAAGGGCCGAUUUUGGCCUCAAAAUUAAGGUUCAUCUGAUGAAAGAUUUUGGACACUUUUUAAACACUUAAGUGUCUACUUCGGUUGAUUCAUUUUAUUUUUUGUGAAAGAUUUGAACUGAUUUAGUCAUUAAAGACGCUCAAAUUCAAGCUUAAAUAUGAAAAAUCUAUCAAAUAUGCCAUAAUAUGUCACUUUUCAGAUGGUUGUUGUCAAAAAUGAAAGUGGCCGCAUCCGUGUUCAUUAUCAACCUUUAUAUAUGUUAUGUAUUAUCAUCAAAUACAACUUACAUUUAGAUAUUAAGAAUCAACACAAAUGCAGCCACUUCCAUUUCAGACGGAAUCUGUCUAAAAAUUAACCAAAAUGCUAAAAUUUUGAAGAUUUCAGUAAUUUAGCAUGACUUAAUGAUGCUAGUACCCGAUACAUGUGCAUAUUAUUGUCAAAAACAGUCCAUAUUUAUGUAACAGAAGUAUUCUUCUUUUCAAUAAAUAGCUAAACAAUU
This is a long non-coding RNA of Mytilus californianus (California mussel), 4602 nucleotides long. RefSeq lists it as uncharacterized. NCBI's taxonomy places the organism in Eukaryota, Metazoa, Mollusca, Bivalvia, Mytilida, Mytilidae. The transcript is spliced from 4 exons. The record is from RefSeq and is a predicted model, not a curated record.